Molecule: long non-coding RNA, 4590 nt
Organism: Eriocheir sinensis (Chinese mitten crab)
Lineage: Eukaryota; Metazoa; Arthropoda; Malacostraca; Decapoda; Varunidae
Exons: 2
Source: RefSeq, a predicted model, not a curated record
UCCACAAUUCUUUUGAGGUGAAGGCUAGUGCUAUUGUGAGAGUGUGUGGUGAAAUAAGAACAUAAGAACAUAAGGAGUCUGCAAGAGGUCGGUAGAUGAACACUUAACCAAAGACCUCUGAGAAAUAUCAAUCCACAAUUCUUUUGAGGUGAAGGCUAGUGCUAUUGUGAGAGUGUGGUGGUGAAAUAAGAACAUAAGAACAUAACAGCAUAAAGAGUCUGUUAGAGGUCGGUAGAUGAACACUUAACCAAAGACCUCUAGAAAAACAUUGUCUCUAUUCUAAUAAGGUGGCGGGAAGUGCUGUUGUGAGGUUAUAGUGAAAUAUUUGAACGCUAAUUAAAGCCCUGUGAAAAAUAUUAAGCCUCUAUUUGUCUAAGGAGGUGGUUUUGUGAGUAUGGUGUUGAAAUAGAUCGAACACGAACUGACAAACUCGGAAAUAUAUUAAGCUUCUAUUUGUCUAAGGGGAAGGGAAGUGGUUUUCUGAGCAUGGUGAUGAAAUAGAUCGCACACUAACAGACGAACUCGGAAAUAUGUUAAGCCUCUUCGUAUAAGGGGAAGGGAAGUGUUUUUCUGAGUAUGUUGAUGAAAUAAAUCGCACACUAACAGACGAACUCGUAAAAAUAUUAAGCCUCAAUUCUUUAAGGUGGAGGCAUUGUGGAGGUUUUGCAAGUGUAGGAUUGGAACGAGUGAGCGCUGGAGACCUCCGACCACCAUUCCUUGCUCGUCAUCUUUGUGUCAAGCGGAAAACAAAAGUCUGUCCAUAUGUUCAGUGGUGGAAUGCAAAAGAAGAAGAAUUAUUGUUGACCCUCUCGUAAGGUGUUCGUACUGUUGUGUCCUGGUGAAGUGGGAGAGUGGAUGAGAAGUAUUUUGUGUGUUGUGUCCGUGGGAUAUAGAGAGGGAUAAGAGAGAGGGAGAUAGGGAUAUUAAAGAGGAAAAAAGAGAGAGAAAGAGAAGAGGGAAAAAAGGUAGAAAUACUGAGGGAAGGAGAGAGGGAAAAGAAUGGGAAAUAGAGAGGGAUAAUAAAGAGGGAAAUAGGGAGAGAAAGAGAAGAGAGAGAAAAGUUGGAAAUACUGAGGGAAGGAGAGAGGGAAAAGAAUGGGAAAUAGAGAGGGAUAUUAAAGAGGGAAAUAGAGAAAAAGAGAAGAGGGAAAAAGUUGGAAAUACUGAGGGAAGGAGAGAGGGAAAAAGAAUGGGAAAUAGAGAGAGAAAGAGAAGAGAGAAAAGUUGGAAAUACUGAGGGAAGGAGAGAGGGAUAGAGAGAGGGAAAAAGAAUGGAAAAUAGAGAGGUUUAAUAGAGAGGGGAAUAGAGAAAAAGAGAAGAGAGAAAAAAGUUGGAAAUACUGAGGGAAGGAGAGAGGGAAAAGAAUGGGAAAUAGAGAGGGGAAUAGAGAGUAAACAUUGAUUCUUUCUUCUUCAUUCAUUUUUUUCCCCUAUUUUUUUCCUUUUUGUUACGUGAGUUCAUGAAAAAUCCAUGAGGUGUGUUCUGGUGACGUUUUGGUGAUGUUUGACGAUCCUCACUACCAGCUUCAUAUCAUCACCAAUACCUUCAUCACCACCAUCAUUAUCACCCAUCACCAUCAUCACAAUCAUCACCAAUACCAUCAUCAUCAUCAUCAUGGAAGUAGCAAUAUCCAGCAUAGCGAAACUAGGAAUAUAUUAGUCACUAUCAUCCAAUCAUCCACCUUAUCACCAUCAUCACCACCACCGUCACCACCACCAUCACCACCUCACCCUCAAGCAAGUUACGUAUCGGUGGUAGUUACUUGUGAGCUCAGAUGGUUCGCCGAUUUGAUUAAGAGAUUAAGGUGGGGAUCUUAAUUAGUCUGAAGGCUUUAGCGCUAAUAAACUCCUAAUAUUAUGGGGUUCCCUGUAGCGUCUGCACUAAAUUGGCUUUCCGGUUACAUAAUUUGCCAGGGGGACUGAUGGAUGGGCGCUCGGGUACGUAGUAAGAGUUUUGUGUGGGACGAGAGGUUACGAAGGGGCUGAAAAUUGUCUCUCUUUGGUGUAUGUGUGUACUUAAGAGAUGGGGUGAGCUAGAUUUAUGAAAGGAAAAUUAGGAGAACAGACUUUAGAUUUUGCAACUAGAGAGUGUAGUAGAGAGUUUUUAAAGAAUGUCUGUUUAGGAAGGAGUUGUGAAAUGUCUUGUAUUGGUGUGUGUGUGUACUUAAGAAACGGAGUAAGUUAGAUUUAUGAAAGGAAAAGUAGGAGAAUAGACUGAUGUGGAGAGUUUUGGGACCAGAAAGUUUAGGAGAGUUUAGAAAAAUGUCUGUUUAGGGAAGAGCGUAGAAAAAUGUCCCAUUUUGGAAUAUAUGUACUUAAGAAAUGGAGUAAGUUAGAUUUAUGAAAGGAAAAGUAGGAGAAUAGACUAAUGUGGAAAGAUUUGGGACCAGAAAGUUUAGGAGAGUUUUGAAAAGUGUCUGUUUAGGGAAGAGCGUAGAAAAAUGUCUCGCUUUGGAAUAAAUGUACUUAAGAAAUGGAGUGAGUUAGGUUAAUGAAAGGUGAGGAGAACAGGGUAAAAAAUAGGGGACAUCAUGGGACCAGAGAGUUUAGGAAAGUUUUGAAAAAUGUCUUAAUUUGGUGUAUGCUUUGGAAAUGGAGUGAGUUAUGUAGGUAUAUGAAAAAUCAGAAGAAUAGACUUAAACAAGGAGAGAGAGAGAGUAGGGGGAAAAAGAGAGAGGGGGGGGGGUGAAGGAAAGAAAAUAGGGAAAAAAAGAAAAAAGAUAGGAGGGGAAGAAGUAGUAGAGAGGAGAGAGGGUGAGAAAGAGAAGGAGAUGUGAACCACUUCUCAUUACAUAACCAGGUGUGUUUUGAACUUGAUUGCUUAGUUAAAGGAGUCAAAACUGUUGUCUUCUAUUUUUUUAUGCGUUCACAUUCGUUUUACAUGAGGAUUACUUUAGGCUGUUAUGUUUAUCUGCCUCUCAGCUCCUGUUUCUCUCUCUCUCUCUCUCUCUCUCUCUCUCUCUCUCUCUCUCUCUCUCCCAUAUCCUCAGUAUUUGUGUUCUCUCUAUAUUAUUAUUUCUCUUUUAACUUUCUCCUAUCUGCCUCAUUUCUCUUUCUGCUUAGACUCUCCAUCAUUCUCCUCACCUCACCAUUCACUCUAAUCUCCCUCUCAUAACUAACUCUCUCCUCUCUCUCCCUCCCUUCUUUCUCUCCCCUAAUCUCCCUUUCAUAACCAUUUUUCUCCUCUCCUCUCUCCCUUCUUUCUCUUCCCAAAUCUCCCUUUCAUAACCAUUUUUCUCCUCUCCUCUCUCCCUUCUUUCUCUUCCCUAAUCUCCCUUUCAUAACCAUUUUUCUCCUCUCCUUUCUCCCUCCUUUUUCUCUUCUCUCGUCGAUCACCACAAUCAUCUUUUUUCUAUAUUACUGUUUCCUCUAUUCUCACCUGUUCUCUCCUUUUCUAUCUUCUCUCCUCACCUUCUAUCUUCUAUCUUCUUCCCUCACCUCUUCUUUUGUUUCUUCUCCUCUCUCCUCUUUAUCCUUCUACCUCUUCUCCCCUCUUCUCUUCUUGCCUCUUAUCAUGUCUCCUCUACUCCUUCCUCACUGCAACCAUCUUUUUUUCUCUCCCUUUCUCUCCUCCUCUUCUCUCCUCUCUCCAUCUCUCCUCCUCUUGCCUUCCUCUCUACCUCCCCACAAGUCUUUUUUUUCUCUCCACAUCAAGGUAGGAAGGGGAACAUUUUUUGUGUGUGAUUUACCACAUGGAGGGAGAAAGAGAUGGAGACGGGAGGUAGAGGAGAGGGAGAGGAGAGGAAGUAGAAGGGAAAAAAAGGGAGGGGGGAAAGUAGAAGGAGAGGUAGAAAAAAAUGGAUGGGGUAUGGAGGAGAAAGAAAUGGAGAGCGAAGAUAGAGGAGAGGAGAGAGAAUGUAGGGAAAAAAAAGAUGAAAGGAGGAGAGAUAGAAAAAAAGUAGAGAUGGGAGAUAGAGGAGUAGAAGAAGUAGGUUGAGAGGGAAGGUAGAGAAGAGAGGAAGUAGAAAAAAAAGAGGAGGAAGGGCGAGGGUGGAAAAGGAGAGGUAGGGGAAAAAAAAGAAAUGGGAAAUGGAGAGAAACGGUAGGAGAGAAAAGGAAGGAGGAGGGAAGAUAAAGGGAAGGAGAGGUAGGAAAAAAAAGAAGAGGAAGGGGAAGGAAAAAGAGAAGGAGAGGUAGGGAAAAAAAAAAGAAUGGGAAAUAGAGAAAGAAUGAAAUGGAGAGAAACAGUAUGAGAGAAAAGGAAGGAAAGGAAAAGGAAAAAGAAGGAGAGGUAGGGAAAAAAGAGGAAGGAGAAGGGAGAGUUAGGGAAAAAAUGAUGGGAAAUGGAGGAGAAUGAAAUGGAGAGAAAAGGAAAUAGGAGGAAAGAAACGAAGAAGGAGAGGUAGAAAAAAAAAAUAGGGGUUGAGGGAAAGGAGGAGGAGGAGCAGAUGAAGAGGGAAGGUAGAGAAAGAAAGGAAGUAGAAGGGAAAAAAAGAGAUGGGAGGGGAAGGAAAGGGAGUCCACAAAAAAAAGAUAGGAGAGGAGGAAGUAGUAGAGAGAGAGAGAGAGAGAGAGAGAGAGAGAGAGAGAGAGAGAGAGAGAGAGAGAGAGAGAGAGAGAGAGAGAGAGAGAGAGAGAGAGAGAGAGAGA